AAGACUGAUUGAAAGCUCAAAAGUUGGAUUUGAUCGAUAUCUCGUUCUUUGGCUUUUCCAACCUUUCAAUUAAUGUAAACUGCAAUGCAUACAUUGAUUACUUCCAUUUUAUAGUUGAAUAUAGAGUAACUUCCCUUUUGAGUGGAUUCCAACAAGUAGUUAGGACUUAUUGAUGAUGCAUAUUGAUCAUGCAUAUGUGCUGUUAGCAUCAAAGCUUCAAGAUCGGCCGUGGCCGUUAUCGAUUCCUCCCUGCACAGAUUCGUGGCCACAAGAACUAGCCAAGAAAUGGAGGCAAUUCAAAACAUCAAAUUGUGCACACAUGCACAUACAUGAAGCAUGUGAGCAUGCUCAUGCAUAUCUUGGAAGGUGAAGACAAUGCAAAGGUGGUUGGUCAGGUUAGG
RNAcentral lists this long non-coding RNA (401 nucleotides) under Amborella trichopoda. RNAcentral describes it as "long non-coding RNA (ATRI_LNC000588)". The record is from RNAcentral. Lineage: Eukaryota; Viridiplantae; Streptophyta; Magnoliopsida; Amborellales; Amborellaceae.